GGCUCCUCUCGGUCAGUGCGGUUUCGCCUUUAUGGUGGUGGAGUCCGCCCAGGCUGUGGACCGCAAAUAACCCUGUACAAAGAGGAAUGGAGAUUGCCUCUAUCCAGCUAGAUUCAUAAGCUGGCCUGAGGUGAUCUUGGCAUCAAGGAAGGGAUGCACAUCAUCACACCAUCAGCUUCAGAGCAUGGCAGCCAUUUAUUUGUCCCGUGGGUUUUUUUCCAGGGAACCAAUCUGCCCUUUUGAAGAAAAGACAAAGGUAGAAAGGAUGGUGGAGGACUCCCUGGCAAAUGGUUAUCAGGUAAGCAGAAAACGUACUGUUGUACAAA
RNAcentral lists this small RNA (326 nucleotides) under Pan troglodytes (chimpanzee). RNAcentral's name for it is "retained intron". The record is from RNAcentral. Lineage: Eukaryota; Metazoa; Chordata; Mammalia; Primates; Hominidae.